This is a long non-coding RNA of Hibiscus syriacus, 381 nucleotides long. RefSeq lists it as uncharacterized. NCBI's taxonomy places the organism in Eukaryota, Viridiplantae, Streptophyta, Magnoliopsida, Malvales, Malvaceae. The record is from RefSeq and is a predicted model, not a curated record. The transcript is spliced from 3 exons.
AAUAACUGUUGGUAAUGAUUGGGUUGUUUUUUACAACAAUGUCGUUGAGGCAAGUUGGAAAUGAUGGCAGGCAGUUGCUUUUUUCAGUUGUGUGGGGAAGCAUAAGUGUUGGUAUUGCAGUUUUUGUGAGGGCUAACGGCAGGAUUUUCUGCAUUCGGCCUCGUUUGCGAUUGCAUAGUAAACCUGGCUGUUGAGAUACAUAAUCUACUAAGAUGAUAGGUUCACAAAAUGUUUGGUUAUCUCCGAUAAUAGAAUCGGACACUGCUGGGCAGUCGGUCUCUUCUCCGGUGCAAAAUCCAGGAUAGGACAAAGAAAGCCAACGAACUCACGAGCAUCAUUCUCAAAGAAUUUGUAUUUAUCCACCAAAAAUCUAUCCAGUGG